AGGGCCGAGUGGGGACCGCAGGGCCGAGAGGGGAGGUUUGAGCGACACUGAGCUCGGGGCUUGCCGGCGCAGCAGCGGAGCCGGGGGGGUGGCAAGGGGAAGGCGACACUCGCUUUGCGUUGCCUUCGUGCAGAGCCACUGGGAAGGUUUUGCAGUAGCCACCGCCACUGGAGCGGCGGGAGGAGGGUUUGAGGUGGCCUCUGAGUAGUCCGGAGAAGGUGGGCAUUUCUUGUUUUUUCCCAGCCCUCUCCUGGUCUCCCUCCUCCGCUUGUCUCCCCCCUCCCUACAACCCCACACCCCACGUGAAGCGGAAUAUAGCGGGGGGGGGGGGCUAAUAUUUAGAGGGGAAAGUGAAUGGUGUAGGACUGAAGGGGUCCUCCCCCUUCAGGUCCUCGGCAGCCCUGUUCACCAUCGUUCAUCCUCCCUUCCUGAAGCUCGCCUUCGAAGGCAGGAGCAGCGGGUGCCUUCCGCUGAAGAGGAGGAGGAGAGAAGGAGGGAUCGCGCCGGGCGAAGCGUCAGGUCUGGUUUUCCUCCCUGCGUCUUGAGUACAAAGAUUACCGUGCAGAAGGAAAUUGGCAUUCGCCUUCUCCGUCCCAGUACCCAACACAAUGCACCAGCCGCCUGAGUCUGCCGCGGCCGCUGCAGACAUUAGUGCUAGGAAGAUGGCGCACCCGGCGAUGUUCCCAAGAAGGGGCAGCGGCAGUGGCAGCGCCUCUGCUCUCAUUGCAGCAGGUACCGGCGUUGUUAGUAAUGUCCCAUCUUCCGAGGAUCUUCCGCCUCUGUCGCUGCUUCAGCCGCCACCUCCUGCAGCAUCUUGUACGUCGGGACCACAGCCUCCGCCUCCACAAAGCCUGAACCUCCUUUCGCAGGCUCAGCUGCAGACACAGCCUCUCGCACCAGGCGGAACUCAAAUGAAAAAGAAAAGUGGCUUUCAGAUAACUAGUGUUACCCCGGCCCAGAUCUCCGCCAGCAUCAGCUCUAACAACAGUAUAGCAGAGGACACUGAGAGCUAUGAUGAUCUGGAUGAGUCUCACACAGAAGAUCUUUCGUCUUCCGAGAUCCUUGAUGUAUCACUUUCCAGGGCUACUGACUUAGGGGAACCUGAACGCAGUUCCUCAGAAGAGACGCUUAAUAACUUCCAGGAAGCUGAGACACCUGGGGCAGUCUCUCCCAACCAGCCUCACCUUCCACAGCCUCAUUUGCCUCACCUUCCACAACAGAAUGUUGUGAUUAAUGGGAAUGCUCAUCCACACCAUCUUCAUCACCACCAUCACAUUCAUCAUGGGCACCACCUCCACCAUGGGCACCACCACCCAUCCCACGCUGGUGUGGCCAGUACAUCCAUUCCUGGAGGGCCACCCUCAAGCCCAAUAUCCAGAAAACUCUCCACAACUGGAAGCUCUGACAGUGUUAUACCAGCUGCACCAACUUCUGCUGCAUCAUCGGGUGGCUCACCUGCAUCUGUAAUGACUAAUAUCCGUGCUCCCAGUACUACCAGCAGUAUAGGAGUAAAUUCUGUUACUGGCACUAAUACGAUGAAUAAUGUUACCAUUACUGCUGUGGGUAGUUUUAAUCCUAAUGUGACAAGCAACGUGCUUGGUAAUGCUAAUAUAACCCCAAGCAAUAUUUCUAGUGCUCCUAGUGUGAGUGUUGGGCCUGGAGUUAAUAGCAGUGUUAAUGUGAAUAUCUUGAGUGGCAUGGGCAAUGGUACUCUUUCUUCUGCUGUUGUUAACAGUGUACCUAAUGCAGCUGCAGGGAUGGCUGUGGGAUCAGUUUCAAGUCAGCAACAACAGCCAACAAUUAACACUUCAAGGUUCAGAGUUGUGAAGUUAGAUUCUAGUUCUGAACCUUUUAAAAAAGGUAGGUGGACUUGCACUGAGUUCUAUGAAAAAGAGAAUGCUGUACCUGCUGCAGAAAGUGUGAUAAAUAAAGUGGUGGAAACUGUAAAACUAAACCCAAUAGAAGUGACUUCUGAGAGGGAGAGCACUAGUGGGAGUUCAGUGAGCAGUAGUGUCAGCACACUGAGUCACUACACAGAGAGUGUGGGAAGUGGAGAGAUGGGAGCCCCUACUGUGGUGGUGCAGCAACAGCAGCAGCAACAACCAGCUCUUCAAGGUUUGGCCCUUCAGCAGAUGGAUUUCAGUAGCACUGGUCCUCAGAGUAUUUCAGCAGUUAGUAUACCACAGAGUGUUUCUCAGUCACAGAUCUCACAAGUACAAUUACAGUCUCAAGAACUGAGCUAUCAGCAAAAGCAAGGUGUUCAACCAGUUCCUCUGCAAGCCGCUAUCAAUGCUGUGACUGGUAUUCAGCCAUCACCUGUUAAUGUGGUUGGAAUAACUUCAACUUUAGGUCAGCAGCCUUCCAUUUCUAGUUUGGCUCAGCCCCAACUGCCAUAUUCUCAGACGGCUCCUCCUGUACAAGCUCCCCUUCCAGGGGCAACAUCCCAACAGUUACAAUAUGGACAACAAUCAACUGUUCCCACACAGAUGGCUCCAGGUCACAGUAAACCACCAACUCAAAUUUCUACUUCUGAGUUUGUACAGCAGCAGCCAAGCCUUCAAAAAGCAGUGUCCGCUGGUCAGCCCAGUUCUGCAGCAGUGGGAGCAGGAACAACAGUGAUUCCUAUGGCUCAGCCACAGAGUAUCCAGCUGCCAGUGCAGUCUGUGGCAGUCCAAGCACAACCUGUAGGGGCAUCUGGCCAGCCUGUUGGCCAGGCUCAAACAGCAGUAUCUGCUGUACCUGCUGGCAGUCAAAUUGCAAAUAUUGGUCAACAAGCAAAUGUACCCACUGCAGUGCAGCAGCCCUCUUCCCAAGUCACACCUGCAGUUAUUCAGCAAGGUGCUCCUCCAUCUUCACAAAUAGUUCCACCUGCUCAGACUGCAAUUCUUCAUCAGGGAGUUCAAACUAGUGUUUCAAGCCUUCCUCAACAACUGGUCAUUGCACCCCAAAGUACCUUGUUAACUGUGCCUCCCCAGCCACAAGGAGUAGAAUCAGUAGCUCAAGGAGUUGUUUCACAGCAGUUGCCUGCAGUUAGUCCUGUACCCUCUGCUAGUAGUAUUUCUGUUACAAAUCAGGUUAGUUCAGCUGGUCCUUCUGGAUUGUCUUCUGCCCCAACAAACGUGGUUCCACCACAGAAUAUAGCACAACCCCCUGCCACUCAAAAUGGUAACAUGAUUCAAAGUGUUAGUCAACCUCCCUCCAUAGCAGCUAAUGUAAAUUUGCCUUUGGCACAACAGAUAUCACUAAAUUCUCAGUUCUCUGCACAGUCAUUAGCUCAGGCAAUUGGAAGCCAAAUUGAAGAUGCCAGGCGCCCUGCGGAACCCUCCUUAGUUGGCUUACCUCAGACUAUCUGUGGUGACAGUGGGGGAAUGUCAGCAGUUUCAGAUGGGAGUAGCAGCAGCCUAGCAGCCUCUGCUUCUCUUUUCCCGUUGAAGGUGCUACCGCUGGUGGAUGGCGAGGAUGAGAGCUCUCUAUUUCAGUGCUUCUCUCCUACCAGAGGUGCAAGGAGUGAUCCUAGAACCACAGAUACAGCCAAGACCACGGAGAGCUUUUGACGUCAGGGGUCCAUUUUCUCCACUGAACCCUUGGAGGCAGAAUAUCCAGCUUCUGGAGAGAGUGGGAAAGGAUAAUAAACAAAUUUCUUUCAACUGGUAAACAUCAUACUUCUUCAGCAAAAGGAACUCUUCUAGCAGAGCCUUCAUGGAUGAUAUCUGUCACACAUGCAGCACCUGCAAUUUGGAAGGCAGUGGUGAACGGAACCAUGCAAUAUAUCUAGAAGACACAAGGAUGAGAGAGCCACCUGAUUUUGUCAUUUAUAAACUUUAAGAUUUAUUUUGGUGUACUCUUGGUCUGGAAAUGGAAAGGCUCAAAUAAUGAAAUAAUUUUUUCAGAUUGGAAUUUUACAUGGCCGUGAAAAUAUUCCUUUUCUAUUCAGAAGACUGAAAUAGAGGAAGCAUGAGAGACUCCUUUCUUUUAAAAGCAGCUCUCUGUAUCUGUUUUACUUAAAAGAUUUGUGGGAUUGAAAUCACCUUAAUCAAGCAGGAAAACUUUUUUAGUAUAGGAGAUCCAAAAAGUUACUGAAACUGUUUUUUGUUAUCUGAUAAUGAAAGGAAUUAGAAAUAAAGGAUGAACUUCUUAAUUACUUCCAAAUUACUUUUAAAAUUAGGGCAACACUCUUAGCUUAUCUUUUUCUGAUCUUGAGCCUUGUUCUCAUUUGUCAAUAAACAGUGAUUCCAAUAUAGAAAUAGAAGAGACAUCUUUUGAGAUGAAAGUAGCGUACUCCUUCUAAAGUAGUAAAUACCUGUGAAACUUGAGGUAUUGUCUUUCAUUGAUAGCACAGUAAAAUUUGAAUGAUACUGAAACAAAGUCAGUUAGUAGCAUAUGUCAGUGUUGCAAGGUAAUCAUCCAAACUAUCAAUUGUGGGUAAUAGUUAUCAAAAUUUUUCUAUUUCUCUUUCUGGUAUCUAUUAACUGGUCAAAGCUAUUAAAGAAAUUUUUAAAAGUUAUCCAGUGUUGCCAGUUUGUUUUAUUUGGUACAAAUUUUAAGAGAAAUAGAAUUAUUAACAUAGAAGCAUAUAACAUAUUUUAGGAAUCUAGAAACAUUUGUUAAAUUAUACCCUGGCCUUUACUUUUUCUUGGCUAUCUAUUAGAGCUUUUUUCCUCAUUAAUUAUAAAUACAUUUUUGUAAAGUACUGAAAAGUAAGCUUAAAAGAUCAAUUUAAACUAAAAUUUCUUUAGAGAGCUCUGAAUUUUCAUGAAUGAUUACAGCUUUUAAUGCUUGGUUUGUUUUUGUUAACUGUUAGUAAGACAGUUUUUACAAACACAUAAAUUUAAUACUCAACAUCUUAGAAAGAACUCAGGGGAAUUGAAAGUGAAAUUUCUUGGAAAUUAAGUUAAACUCUUUGAACCAGUUUAUGGCCUAUGAGAUUAUAGCCUUUUGUUUCAGUUUUGAAAGAUGAAAAGUGAUUUAGUCUCUUAAUCAUAUGCUUUGAUUAAAUUUAGCUCUGUUCCUUAAAGUGUGCAAAAAAAAUGUAAGUGCAUUUCUAUUCCCCUCUUUCCACUAAAAGCUAUUUAAAAGUGAAACAUUUUGUGUAUUAAUGUGAACUGAUUUGUUUAUAUAAACUUUUAUUUUAAUAUAUUUUUCUUUCAGAUUUUUAAAUAUUUUAUGUCAUAAUAUGCAAUUCUAUAUUUUUCAGUGUUUAUUUUAUGA
This is an RNA transcript of Phyllostomus hastatus (greater spear-nosed bat), 5208 nucleotides long. It is a transcript of the gene named TSC22 domain family member 1, with no coding region annotated. The record is from RefSeq and is a predicted model, not a curated record. The transcript has 3 exons. NCBI's taxonomy places the organism in Eukaryota, Metazoa, Chordata, Mammalia, Chiroptera, Phyllostomidae.